Molecule: ribosomal RNA, 237 nt
Filed under: uncultured bacterium
Lineage: Bacteria
Description: partial 16S ribosomal RNA
Rfam family: Bacterial small subunit ribosomal RNA
Source: RNAcentral
AACACGUGGGCAACCUGCCCUUGGGAUCGGGAUAACCUCGCGAAAGUGGGGCUAAUACCGGAUAAGACCACACUGUCUAUGGCAGAGUGGGAAAAGAUGGCCUCUUCUUGAAAGCUAUCACCUGGGGAUGGGCCCGCGGCCUAUUAGCUUGUUGGUGAGGUAACGGCUCACCAAGGCGACGAUGGGUAUCCGGCCUGAGAGGGUGAACGGACACACUGGCACUGAGACACGGGCCAG